RNAcentral lists this microRNA (19 nucleotides) under Corchorus capsularis. RNAcentral describes it as "sRNA CCACVL1_07577". Lineage: Eukaryota; Viridiplantae; Streptophyta; Magnoliopsida; Malvales; Malvaceae. The record is from RNAcentral.
CCUUCUCCUAAAACCCAUU